GCCAGGUAUAGUGCUGCACGCCUGUAAUCCCAGCUACUUCAGAGGCUGAGGCAGGAGGAUUACAAGUUGAAGGUCAGUCUCAGCAAUUUAGUGAGAACUUGUCUCAA
This 107-nucleotide small RNA is filed under the name Marmota monax (woodchuck). Lineage: Eukaryota; Metazoa; Chordata; Mammalia; Rodentia; Sciuridae. The record is from RNAcentral.